This 454-nucleotide ribosomal RNA is filed under the name uncultured bacterium. RNAcentral's name for it is "partial 16S ribosomal RNA". It matches the Rfam family "Bacterial small subunit ribosomal RNA", at positions 28 to 507 of the family's 1533-position model. The record is from RNAcentral.
GAUGAACGCUGACAGAAUGCUUAACACAUGCAAGUCAACUUGAACUUCGGUUUGGGCGGCGGACGGGUGAGUAACGCGUAAAGAACUUGCCUCACAGUUAGGGACAACAUUUGGAAACGAAUGCUAAUACCUGAUAUUAUGAUUUUAGGGCAUCCUAGAAUUAUGAAAGCUAUAUGCGCUGUGAGAGAGCUUUGCGUCCCAUUAGCUAGUUGGAGAGGUAACGGCUCACCAAGGCGAUGAUGGGUAGCCGGCCUGAGAGGGUGAACGGCCACAAGGGGAAUGAGACACGGCCCUUACUCCUACGGGAGGCAGCAGUGGGGAAUAUUGGACAAUGGACCAAGAGUCUGAUCCAGCAAUUCUGUGUGCACGAUGAAGUUUUUCGGAAUGUAAAGUGCUUUCAGUUGGGAAGAAAAAAAUGACGAUACCAACAGAAGAAGUGACGGCUAAAUACGUG